Molecule: ribosomal RNA, 371 nt
Filed under: uncultured bacterium
Lineage: Bacteria
Description: bacterial SSU rRNA
Rfam family: Bacterial small subunit ribosomal RNA
Source: RNAcentral
GGGCUCACACAAGCGGUGGAGCAUGUGGCUUAAUUCGAGGCAACGCGAAGAACCUUAUCCUGGGUUUGACAUGUACGGAUGGCUCGCCUGAAAGGGAUGAGUCUGCCUUCGGGUGAAACGUACACAGGUGCUGCAUGGCUGUCGUCAGCUCGUGUCGUGAGAUGUAGGGUUAAGUCCUUAAACGAGCGCAACCCUUGUCCUUAGUUGCCAGCGGGUCAUGCCGGGACUCUAGGAGACCGCGGUGUUAAACGAGAAGUGGGACGACGUCAAGUCAUCAUGGCCUUAUGCCCAGGGCUGCACACGUGCUACAAUGGGACGUACAAAGGGAAGCGAACCCCGCGAGGGCAAGCAAAUCCCCAUAAAACCGUGGC